GAUGAACGCUGGCUACAGGCUUAACACAUGCAAGUCGAGGGGAAACGACGGGGAAGCUUGCUUCCCCGGGCGUCGACCGGCGCACGGGUGAGUAACGCGUAUCCAACCUGCCUCUGACUGAGGGAUAACCCGUCGAAAGUCGGCCUAAUACCUCAUGGCAUCGUCUGCGGGCAUCCAACGACGAUUAAAGAUUUCAUCGGUCAGGGAUGGGGAUGCGUCUGAUUAGCUUGUUGGCGGGGUAACGGCCCACCAAGGCUACGAUCAGUAGGGGUUCUGAGAGGAAGGUCCCCCACAUGGUAACUGAGCCCCGGUCAACACUCCUAGGGGCGGAAGCGGGGAGGAAUUUGGGUGAGUGGGCGGGAGCUUGACCCAGCCAGGUGGGGGGAAGGAUGACGGCCUUAUGGGUUUUAAUCUUCUUUUAGGGGGGAAAAAGGGGAGGGACGGGUCCUUCAUUGAGGUGACCGAAUAAAUAGGGCCCGGCUAAUCCCGUC
This 491-nucleotide ribosomal RNA is filed under the name uncultured bacterium. Its description in RNAcentral is "partial 16S ribosomal RNA". It matches the Rfam family "Bacterial small subunit ribosomal RNA", at positions 28 to 507 of the family's 1533-position model. The record is from RNAcentral.